AACCCGACUCCAUGAAGCUGGAUUCGCUAGUAAUCGCGCAUCAGCCACGGCGCGGUGAAUACGUUCCCGGGCCUUGUACACACCGCCCGUCAAGCCAUGGAAGCCGGGAGUGCCUGAAGUGCGUGACCGCAAGGAGCGCCCUAAGGCAAUACCGGUGACUGGGGCUAAGUCGUAACAAGGUAGC
This 184-nucleotide ribosomal RNA is filed under the name uncultured bacterium. RNAcentral describes it as "partial 16S ribosomal RNA". It matches the Rfam family "Bacterial small subunit ribosomal RNA", at positions 1309 to 1500 of the family's 1533-position model. The record is from RNAcentral.